This 82-nucleotide transfer RNA is filed under the name Colletotrichum chlorophyti. It matches the Rfam family "tRNA". Rfam says of the family: Transfer RNA (tRNA) molecules are approximately 80 nucleotides in length. Lineage: Eukaryota; Fungi; Ascomycota; Sordariomycetes; Glomerellales; Glomerellaceae. The record is from Rfam by way of RNAcentral.
UCCUCGAUAGUCUAGUGGUGAGGAUAUCGGCUUGUCAUCUCACGAUUCGCCGGGGACCGGGGUUCAAUUCCCCGUCGAGGAG